RNAcentral lists this ribosomal RNA (292 nucleotides) under uncultured bacterium. RNAcentral describes it as "partial 16S ribosomal RNA". It matches the Rfam family "Bacterial small subunit ribosomal RNA", at positions 505 to 796 of the family's 1533-position model. The record is from RNAcentral.
GUGUCAGCCGCCGCGGUAAAACGUAGGAGGCGAGCGUUAUCCGGAUUUACUGGGUGUAAAGCGCGUGCAGGCGGUUCGCUAAGUUGGAUGUGAAAGCUCCCGGCUCAACUGGGAGAGGUCGUACAAGACUGGCGGACUGGAGUAUGGUAGGGGAAGGUGGAAUUCCGGGUGUAGUGGUGAAAUGCGUAGAUAUCCGGAGGAACACCAGUGGCGAAGGCGGCCUUCUAGACCAUGACUGACGCUCAGACGCGAAAGCUAGGGUAGCAAACGGGAUUAGAAACCCCUGUAGUCC